CCGAGUGCGGGCCUCGCGGCCCAACCUCCCACCCUUGUCUCUAUACACCUGUUGCUUUGGCGGGCCCACCGGGGCCACCUGGUCGCCGGGGGAACGCACGUCCCCGGGCCCGCGCCCGCCGAAGCGCUCUGUGAACCCUGAUGAAGAUGGGCUGUCUGAGUACUAUGAAAAUUGUCA
RNAcentral lists this unclassified non-coding RNA (177 nucleotides) under soil metagenome. Its description in RNAcentral is "partial internal transcribed spacer 1". The record is from RNAcentral.